CCCCUCUCAGGGUUGCACCUGGAGAGUUUACAGUACUCUACCAGUCUUGAAUACAGGAGGGAGAGUCGAGCAGAGGCCUAUUCACUCCAUUCCCAGCUUGGGCAGUGGCUAGCGAGUGGAAGACAACCUGCUACAAGU
Small nucleolar RNA from Ornithorhynchus anatinus (platypus), 138 nucleotides. The record is from RefSeq and is a predicted model, not a curated record. Lineage: Eukaryota; Metazoa; Chordata; Mammalia; Monotremata; Ornithorhynchidae.